RNAcentral lists this ribosomal RNA (843 nucleotides) under Trapezionida acantha. Its description in RNAcentral is "eukaryotic LSU rRNA". It matches the Rfam family "Eukaryotic large subunit ribosomal RNA", at positions 36 to 646 of the family's 3401-position model. The record is from RNAcentral. Lineage: Eukaryota; Metazoa; Arthropoda; Malacostraca; Decapoda; Munididae.
AAGCAUAUUAAUAAGCGGAGGAAAAGAAACCAACAGGGAUUCCCUUAGUAAGUGCGACUGAACCGGGAAGAGCCCAGCGCAUAACCUUGUAGCCCAAAAGGCGCGAGGGGUGUUGCGUUUCAGAGGGUCUAGCACACCGUCCCCGACCAGCCUAAGUCUUACCUGGAAAGGAGCUCUAUGACCAAGGAAGGUGUGAGUCCUGUAUGGCGGUGCCCGUGAGGGAAUCCGUGGGACGGUGGAAAGGACCGCUCUGUAGAGUCGGGUUGCUUAAUACUGCAGCCCAAAGUAGGUGGUAAACUCCAUCUAAGGCUAAAUAUGACCACGAGACCGAUAGCGAACAAGUACCGUGAGGGAAAGUUGAAAAGGACUUUGAAGAGAGAGUUAAAAGUACGUGAAACCGUUAAGAGCCUAAACGGAUGGUACCUUGUAGAUCGAACUGUUGUUUGGAUUCAGCYCGUCGGCACUGAGGUCUCUGGUUGAAUGGCAGUAAAAUGUCAAGUGACCCAAAAUUGGGAGGAUAGGUUGUGUUUGGCUGUAGACACCUUUAGCUAGGUGUCACUUACCUUAUCUCGACACUUUUCCAUUGGGCACGCCUCAUUAUGAUCGGUAGGUGUUGGCGGGCGCAUUUCCCUUCGUAGUAGAUCACCGCGGCCCAUUGCUCUGGGGCAGUGAAAUGACCCAUUUGGAUUGGUAACCACAAUGCCUUUAUCGGAGAGUAGCCUCGCACGUUACCUCGCGUUACUGAGCGUUUAGUGGCGAAACCAUUUGGUGUUCUGACUGCCCUGCGAUGGCGAGAAUAAUAUUGGGAACUCCCUUUGGUAUGUCCUUGUCGGGUGCCAUAUG